RNAcentral lists this long non-coding RNA (4677 nucleotides) under Homo sapiens (human). RNAcentral describes it as "HSALNT0369347". Lineage: Eukaryota; Metazoa; Chordata; Mammalia; Primates; Hominidae. The record is from RNAcentral.
CAAGCAUUUAUUAGCUCACACAGUUUCCAUAGGUCAUGAAUUUGGUAGCAGCUUAGCUGGGUGAGUCUGACUCAGGGUCUCUCAUGAAGCUGCAGCCAAGAUGUUUGUGUGGGCUAACAGCAAUCUGAAGGCUUGACUGUGGCUGAAGGAUUAACUCUAAAAUGGCUCACUCACAGGAUUGCUGGCAGAAGGCCUCAGUUCAUUGCUGGCUGUUGCAGGAGACCUCAUUUCCUUGCCAGGUGGAUUUCUCUAUGAGGCUGUUCAGUGUGACCUCACAACAUGGCAGCUAGCUUCCCCUAGAGCAUGUAAUCCAAGCUUCCUCCAGAGUGUGCCAUCCAAGAAAGGAAGUCAACGUGCUUUUUAAGAUAUUGUCUCUAAAUUCACAUCCUGUCACUUUCUUUACUAGAAACAAGUCACUACGUCCAACCUACUCUCAAGAGGAGAGGAAUUAGGCUCCAUCUCUUGAAGGCAAGAAUAUUAGAGAAUUUGUGUGCAUAAUUUAAAUCCACCAUAGACAUGUUAACUUAUCUAGAGCAAUGGAACUAAUAAGUGGAAAAGCCUGCAUUUGAACUUAUUUCAGUCUUAGUCUGGAACCAAUGUUUUAAUUGCAGCUCUCCAGUGCCUAGGAAAACUAUAUAUUCUAAUGUAUUAUCUCUUGAGAGCACAUUUAGAAACCAAAUGCAAUCUAAAUGUAAGUAUCUACUUUAAAUUUUCUUGAUUUUAAAAAGACAUAGCAUUUCAAAAAUCUAUUUAUAAGUUCCCAAGUGCAAUUUGACAUUAUAGUCUCAUCAUUUGAAACUUUUCCUCUUUCCUAAGAAAUUGGGUAGAUAUUAAGCUCACAAAGAAGGUAAAACAACCAGCAAGUUGUUUGGAAUUCCAGUAUCUAUUUCCGGAAAUUCCAGUUAAACUUCUCUUUUUUAGGAAACCUCAGAGUGACAGCCAUGCCCAAACUCCUCUUUGACAGUCUCUUCUAUAUUCCUGCUUAAGAUGUGCCCCACAUAGUUAUGCUCAGGGAAGUGGUACAAUCAGGGAAGCACAGUUUGAAUGAUGUUUACAAUCUUUACUUGAUCUCUCAAAAAAUAAUAAAGGUGAUUCAAGUACAUAGUUGACAUGAAUUCUUACUAAAAUUCCAAAUACCAAGGAAACGCCCCAGAGCCUCUCAUCAUUCUGAGGAAAGAAUGCUUUGCAUUCUCUCCACCAUUCCAUGCCCCACUUUCUCCGCCUCUCCCACUCCACCCACCAUGUGUGCUUUCACACGUUUUUCUUUGGGCCUGUAACUGCUCAGAAGUAUAUUAGCUAUGCUUUUCUCCCCACUCUUGCUGAAGAAUUUGGCAACGGAACUGUUGUCCUUUCUGCUUCUUCACGCACAGACUCUUCGUCACCAGAGCCCAAAGCACCAAUGACCAUAAGAGCAGUAGAAACAGCAAAAUAAUCUACUAAUCCACAACCUUUCAUGGCAGUUAGAGAGAAGGGGGAUCUACAUAUAUGAUUAUUUUCUCUGCUACUCCAGACAUAGGUGACUGGACCAGGAACUGGUGUCUGACAUAAAGGCAGCCAUCUGCAGGAUGAGCAGGAAUCUGAGAAGUGGCUUGGCAGAAACACAGUCCAGGCUAAGGGAUCCAGAGUUAAUGGUGACUGAGAAAACCCCUUGCACUCUUUUUUUUUUUUUUCUAGGAAAUUUAACUGUGAAACACUUAGUAAGGAAAUAAAUGAGUAGAGAGAGCAGAAGCCUAGAGAUGAAGACCUAUAAGGCAGUAAGCCUUGUGUGAUUAGCCCUGAGUGACAAGGAAGAAAACUAGGUUUAAAACAAAGUCUAAUUAACUGAGAACUCAAGUGUGACUCUUCCUCGCAAUGGAGGGAUCUUAUGUACCUACUAAAAAGGAUAUAAAUUGUGUUUUCUAUCUUUCGACAACUUUUAUUUAGGGUUUAUCAUUUAUUCAUAUAUUUAUUUACCUCAAUGUCAGCGCUAACCUGGUUUCUACAGUAAUAAUGAUAGCUAACAUUUCUUGGAUGGUUACUAGGCAUCAGCACUGUUCUAAGUGGUGAAUUAUAUUAGCAUGUGUCUGUUACACUUCUCACUUUAUAUGAAGAUGUGAAGACAUGGUAUCAAACUAACUGGCUUCCUGUCAUAUAGCUAGCGAGUGGCAGAGGCAGCAUCUUUGUCCAUUUGUGCUACUAUGACAAAAUACCAUAAAGUGGGUAAUUUUAUUUUAUUUUUUGGCUAAAAGAACAGAAAUUUAUUUCUCACAGUUCUGGAGGCUGGGAUGACAAGAUCAACAUUCUGGCAAGUGCAGAGAGACAGAGAGCUCUGGUCUCUUUUCUUAUAGUGACACUAAUGCUAUUGGAUCAGGACCCCACACUUAUUACUUCAUUUAUGCUUAAUUACCUCCAUAAAGACCCUACCUCCAAAUACAGUUAUAUUGGGGGUCAGGGAUUUAGCGAAUAAAUUUGCAGAGGACACAAACAUUCAGUUCAUAGCCACUAAUAUCGUCCUUUUAAUUGGAAAGUCGCUGGUAGAUUUAUCAACUUUGUCUAGGUCCACAAAGUAAAUUGGGGUUAAAGAAAAAAUUUAGGAACAAUAGAAAUAUAUUUCUCAUAAUUCUGGAACAUGGGAAGUUAAAGAUCAAGGUGCCAGCAGGUUUGGUGUCUAGUAAGGACCUGGUCUCUGCUUUCAAGAUGGCACCUGGUUGCUGCAUCCUCCAAAGGGGAUGAAGGCUGUGUCCAGAAAGCAAAAGGAAACGAACACUAGUCGCCUCCAGACAAAUUUAUAAAUUCACUAAUCCCUUUCAUGAGAGCUCCACUCCGUGACUUAACUAGCUCCAAAGGCCCCACCUCUUAAUACUACUGCACUGGAGAUUAAGAUUCGACAUAAAUUUUGAAGGAACACAAACACUCAUACCAUAGCGGUAAGGUUUGAAACCACAUAGUCUGGCUCCAAAGGCUGUACUUCUAACUGUUGUAUUCUUCUGCUGCUCUAAAUGAAACAGUUGCCUCCUCACUGUGAGAUAAUUUCCAAAUGUCUUACCCUGACAUGGAAGGCUCCCACAGUCUAGCCCACAACAAUCUUUAUCAAAUCCCAUUACUUCAAUUUUUAUAAACCCCAGCAUCUCCCCUCAUAGUUCCCUAAGAAAUGAGCCUGCAGGCUUUGUGCUGCCUCUCUCUGCACCUUUAUGUCUCCUGAAACUGGAAAACCUAACUAACUACAGGUGCGAUCACAGUAAACCGACACAUAAAAAGCAGCAGGCCUUCCGAAUGCUACAGUCUCAUACAUCUGAAUGCUGAGGCUGUAGAAUCCAACUUUGACAAACAACGUAAUCUUUCUGACUGCUUUAUAAGUGUGUAUUUAGGUUCUCAGCUGAAGAACAAGAAAAAUGAAAUUUAGUGCCAAGCUGUGUGGACAUGGUCAGACUCUUGGAUAAUUUAUUUUUUAUGACAGAUUCCAUUUUCUGCUGCUGGCAUGAUUACACGGGAAGACAUUUAUCCACUGAGAGUACGUUUGUGUCUUUUGAAUGGGCUAACUCAGUGGUAGGAUUUAAUUUGUGCAAUAUUAUUCACUUAUUAGACCAAAAGACUAAGUACAUGCUCGGCAUUACUAAGUUUAUUGAAAUGUUAUUACAAGAAUUCGUCUUGAGAGGCAAAAGGAACAUCAGUGCUUAGCCUGAGAUUUUCUCAUUAUCUUCGAAGUGCAGAUAUCAUUGAGAUGAUUAGUUUCCUGGAUAAAUUUAGAUUUGAAGAGGUGUGAAUAUGUGCUCUGUUAGAAAUGUUGUGUUGCAGUAUCGUUUAUACUGUAAGGCUGUUGCUGAAAACUGAAGUACGUAGAGAGUGAACUGGGUGAGUGUGUGUUAACAGCGAAUUGCAAACUCUACUUGAGAAUGCUCCUCGGAACAAAGGGACUGUCACUUAUCAGGUCUAGCCAAUUGUUGCAAUGGUGGAAUGUAGCCCAACAUUGACAGAUAGCCUCAUUUUUAAGAAAAACAAAAUUUUUGGAUAUCUAUAUAAAAUACCCUGAUGUUUAAAUGUUGGUAAGUAUGGUAGACAGAAUUCUAAAAAUGACUUCUCUUGGCUGUCUUCCUUGUGUAACCCCUCCCCUUUGAAUGUGAGUGGAAUUUGUCAAUAUAAUGACGUAUUACUCCUGUGACUGUUAUGUGCCCAAAGGUGAUUAUCUAGAUGGGCUCAAUCUAACCACGGAAUCAGAAAGAGGAAAAUACAAGAAGGAUACCACAGAUCUUUGCUGGCUUUGAAGAUACAGGGGGCUAUAUCUUCAGCCUCUAGGAUCUGAGCACAGUCUGGGGCUGGUAAGCUAGCCAGAAAAUGGGGACCUCAAUCUCACAUUCACAAGAUACAGAAUUCUGCCAACAACCAGAAUGAGCUUGGAAGUGAAUUCUUCCCGAAAGCCUUCAAAUAAGUGUUCAUCCCAGCCGACAUUUUCUUUUUGAUCUUGUGAGAUUCCGAUCAGAGAAUCCAAUGGAGUGCAACAUAAAUAAUGACUUACAGAUUUGUGAGCCAAUAAAUGGGUAUUGUCUUAUAUUGAUAAGUAUAUGGUUAUUUGUUAUUUAGCAAUAGAAAAUUAAUGCAGUGUAUUAGGCUGCUAUGAAGAAAUACCUGAGACUGGGUAAUUUAUAAAGAAAAAGAGGUUUAAUUGACUCACAGUUCCACAUGUCUGGGAAGGCCUCUGGA